AAUCAACGCUGGCGGCGUGCCUAACACAUGCAAGUCGAACGCGAAAGGGGGCUUCGGCUCCUAAGUAGAGUGGCGUCCGGGUGAGUAACACGUAGGUAAUCUGCCUUCGGGUGGGGAAUAACCAGUCGAAAGAUUGGCUAAUACCGCAUAAUGCAGCGGCACCUAAUGGUGAUUAGUUGUUAAAGCGGGGGAUCGUAAGACCUCGCGCCUGAAGAGGAGCCUGCGGCAGAUUAGCUAGUUGGUGAGGUAAUGGCUCACCAAGGCUUCGAUCUGUAGCUGGUCUGAGAGGACGGCCAGCCACACUGGCACUGACACACGGGCCAGACUCCUACGGGAGGCAGCAGUGGGGAAGUUUUGGGCAAUGGGCGAAAGCCUGACCCAGCAACGCCGCGUGAGGGAGGAAAUCCUUCGGGAUGUAAACCUCACAAGCAAGGGAAGAGAGCUCAGGGCCGAAUAAGCUUUGAGUCCGACGGUACCUUGCGUAAGCCACGGCUAACU
Molecule: ribosomal RNA, 498 nt
Filed under: uncultured bacterium
Lineage: Bacteria
Description: bacterial SSU rRNA
Rfam family: Bacterial small subunit ribosomal RNA
Source: RNAcentral